Molecule: ribosomal RNA, 119 nt
Filed under: Helianthus annuus (common sunflower)
Lineage: Eukaryota; Viridiplantae; Streptophyta; Magnoliopsida; Asterales; Asteraceae
Source: RNAcentral
GGUUGCGAUCAUACCAGCACUAAUGCACCGGAUCCCAUCAGAACUCCGCAGUUAAGCGUGUUUGGGCGAGAGUAGUACUAGGAUGGGUGACCCCCUGGGAAGUCCUCGUGUUUCAACCC